Molecule: ribosomal RNA, 483 nt
Filed under: uncultured bacterium
Lineage: Bacteria
Description: partial 16S ribosomal RNA
Rfam family: Bacterial small subunit ribosomal RNA
Source: RNAcentral
AUUGAACGCUGGCGGCAUGCCUUACACAUGCAAGUCGAACGGCAGCGCGGGAGCAAUCCUGGCGGCGAGUGGCGAACGGGUGAGUAAUACAUCGGAACGUGCCCAAUCGUGGGGGAUAACGCAGCGAAAGCUGUGCUAAUACCGCAUACGAUCUACGGAUGAAAGCAGGGGAUCGCAAGACCUUGCGCGCAUGGAGCGGCCGAUGGCAGAUUAGGUAGUUGGUGAGGUAAAGGCUCACCAAGCCUUCGAUCUGUAGCUGGUCUGAGAGGACGACCAGCCACACUGGGACUGAGACACGGCCCAGACUCCUACGGGAGGCAGCAGUGGGGAAGUUUGGACAAUGGGCGAAAGCCUGAUCCAGCCAUGCCGCGUGCAGGAUGAAGGCCUUCGGGUUGUAAACUGCUUUUGUACGGAACGAAACGGUCUUUUCUAAUAAAGAAGGCUAAUGACGGUACCGUAAGAAUAAGCACCGGCUAACUACGU